RNAcentral lists this ribosomal RNA (253 nucleotides) under uncultured bacterium. RNAcentral's name for it is "partial 16S ribosomal RNA". It matches the Rfam family "Bacterial small subunit ribosomal RNA", at positions 524 to 776 of the family's 1533-position model. The record is from RNAcentral.
GACAGAGGGUGCAAACGUUGUUCGGAUCUACUGGGCGUAAAGCGCGUGUAGGCGGCUUGGCAAGUUGGAUGUGAAAGCCCACGGCUCAACCGUGGAAGCGCAUCCAAAACUGCUUCGCUCGAGUCUCGGAGAGGAAGGUGGAAUGCUUGGUGUAGAGGUGAAAUUCGUAGAUAUCAAGCAGAACACCUGCGGCGAAGGCGGCCUUCUGGACGAUGACUGACGCUGAGACGCGAAAGCGUGGGGAGCAAACAGG